This 696-nucleotide small RNA is filed under the name Pongo abelii (Sumatran orangutan). RNAcentral describes it as "processed transcript". Lineage: Eukaryota; Metazoa; Chordata; Mammalia; Primates; Hominidae. The record is from RNAcentral.
CCGCUAUGAGAGUACACGCAGUGGGCGACGGAUGGAGCUGAGUACGGGGACCAUCCAGGCUAAUCACACGGGCACAGGAAUCGGAUAUAACAUCAUCCGGGUACCCAUGGCCAGCUGUGACUUCUCCAUCCGCACCUAUACCUAUGCAGAUACCCCUGAUGAUUUCCAGUUGCACAACUUCAGCCUCCCAGAGGAAGAUACCAAGCUCAAGAUACCCCUGAUUCACCGAGCCCUGCAGUUGGCCCGGCGUCCCGUUUCACUCCUUGCCAGCCCCUGGACAUCACCCACUUGGCUCAAGACCAAUGGAGCGGUGAAUGGGAAGGGGUCACUCAAGGGACAGCCCGGAGAUAUCUACCACCAGACCUGGGCCAGAUACUUUGUGAAGUUCCUAGAUGCCUAUGCUGAGCACAAGUUACAGUUCUGGGCAGUGACAGCUGAAAAUGAGCCUUCUGCUGGGCUGUUGAGUGGAUACCCCUUCCAGUGCCUGGGCUUCACCCCCGAACAUCAGCGAGACUUCAUUGCUCGUGACCUAGGUCCUACUCUCGCCAACAGUACUCACCACAAUGUCCGCCUACUCAUGCUGGAUGACCAACGCUUGCUGCUGCCCCACUGGGCAAAAGUGGUACUGACAGACCCAGAAGCAGCUAAGUAUGUUCAUGGCAUUGCUGUACAUUGGUACCUGGACUUCCUGGCUCC